UUCUUUAACGCAUAUUCACAGAUGAGGAGGUGAAUCGUGGGGUGUGUUAAUGGUACAAACUUGCUUUUUGGUGGAGAGAACCUGAUGCCCCCCUUUUGAUGUAUGAGUGGGUGGUGCUGUUUCUUUCUUCUCUCAUCUCUCUCUUCUUCUUCUUCUUCUUCUUCUUCUUCUUCUUCUAUCUCUUUUUCUCUCUUUUCUUCUCUCUUCCUUCCUCCAAUCCCUUCUCUGCAACUAGCUACCUUCUGCUUCUAAUCAGGUCUGUCUCUUGUAAUUUUCUUCUUACUUUUUUCUUCUUUAAAUUUUUUACUUUUUUCUCAGCUGGGUUUCCUCCUUUCUUGACCCACCUUCUCUUGCUUGUUUCGAUAAAGAUCGGCUUCUCGCUUGCGAUUUGAUUCUUUCUUUCUCCUCGCAAAGCUGAACUUGGGUUGAUUUGAUUUCACCGAUCCUAUUUUCCCUUUUCUUCAUUUUGACUGUAACUGGAGUGGUUAUUAUCUCAGUCAAGAGAAAACCGAGGAAUCUGAUCUUGGAUUUUCGGCUGGAUUUCAUUUCUGGGUUGGGUGGCUUACUAUUGUAGGGAGACUCAGCAGAUUCGGGGUGGCUUCCUGCCUUCCUUCUUCCUGUAGCUAAUCUGCAGUCUUCUUCCUUGUUGAAGCCUUUUAUUUUGCGGGUUGAGCUUGGCUUCUCUCUUGUCUUCUACCCAUUUGUUCAGUUUUCUCCUCCUUUCUAGUAAGAUUUCUUGUUGAGCUCUGAGAUUUUCUAUUUAUAGAAAUCUCUUGCUACAUAUAAUUUUCUUCAUCAUUAUCCUAUGAUUCUUUGGUCUACAAGAUUUGAUCUCUUGAGCCGUGGUAGUGGAUGAUGUGGUGGCAGCUUCUUUGUUCGCAUAAUCUCAAUUUCGAGUUCCUUUCUUUUUCUCGGAUUACCCACAUAAAAUAACAUUCCACGAACUCUUUAGGGACUAAAUCAACGUCUUUGCUUGUGGAUUUUUC
RNAcentral lists this long non-coding RNA (986 nucleotides) under Carica papaya (papaya). RNAcentral describes it as "long non-coding RNA (CPAP_LNC013578)". The record is from RNAcentral. Lineage: Eukaryota; Viridiplantae; Streptophyta; Magnoliopsida; Brassicales; Caricaceae.